RNAcentral lists this ribosomal RNA (523 nucleotides) under uncultured Glomeraceae. Its description in RNAcentral is "SSU rRNA". It matches the Rfam family "Eukaryotic small subunit ribosomal RNA", at positions 569 to 1092 of the family's 1831-position model. The record is from RNAcentral. Lineage: Eukaryota; Fungi; Glomeromycota; Glomeromycetes; Glomerales; Glomeraceae.
AGCAGCCGCGGUAAUUCCAGCUCCAAUAGCGUAUAUUAAAGUUGUUGCAGUUAAAAAGCUCGUAGUUGAAUUUCGGGAUCAGUACGCUGGUCAUGCCUUUGGUAUGCACUGGUGUCACUGGUUUCUCCCUUCUGAAGAUCCGUGAUGUCAUUAAUUUGGUGUCGCGGGGAAUCAGGACUGUUACUUUGAAAAAAUUAGAGUGUUUAAAGCAGGCUCACGCUUGAAUACCAUUAGCAUGGAAUAAUGAAAUAGGACGUUUGACCCUAUUUUGUUGGUUUCUAGGAUCGACGUAAUGAUUAAUAGGGAUAGUUGGGGGCAUUAGUAUUCAAUUGUCAGAGGUGAAAUUCUUGGAUUUAUUGAAGACUAACUACUGCGAAAGCAUUUGCCAAGGAUGUUUUCAUUAAUCAAGAACGAAAGUUAGGGGAUCGAAGACGAUCAGAUACCGUCGUAGUCUUAACCAUAAACUAUGCCGACUAGGGAUCGGAUGAUGUUAAUUUUAUAAUGACUCAUUCGGCGCCUUACG